AAACAGCCUUAUAGGAUUAAUUUGUGGAAUAUUGUCACGUUCCGUCUGUUCUCUAAUACCUUUGUUCUUUAGUUGAGCGCUAGAUGGCUUCGCGGCGACCUGACUUUACUCUUUAACCCCUUUUUCCCUUAGCAGAUUGUGUCGGCAUGCACUCUUUUGGGCGAGUUACCAAAAGGACUCCAGGGUAAACCACUUUUGGUUGCAGGUUUCCGACACUUGGACAUCUGGCACACGACGCCAGGACAUCUGCCCAUCGACUUUAGGACUAGUGGUUCCCGACAUUUGGACACACAACAAAAUGUUGCUGAAUCCAAUUAGCAGAAUACUCGACCAGUACUCAGCGACGAAAAGACUUCCAGUUAAACGACGAGUGGACUCCCAGGCAAUCGACGUUCGAACUCCCGGGAACUCCUCAUCCAGCGACAAAAGGACUCCCAAUCCAGUGACGCACGGAUUUGCUUAUUUGUUGCAGCUGAAGGAUCGUUAAGAACAUAGGUAUUUUUAAUUGACUAUGAUUAUUGUAUAGAUAUUUGUGCUUACAUUUAUCGGCUGGAUAACUUAUUUAUUUUUAUUAUAGAAGAAAAGUUUAAUUACAAUUAUGUAAAUAUUGUACUCUGAAAUGGAACGAACAUGGGUAACCAUGUUUGUUCCAGUCAGACUUCUUUCCCUUCUUGCAUUCUGAAAUGGAACGAACAUGGGUAACCAUGUUUGUUCCACUCAGACUUUUGACCCUUCUUGUAUUCUGAAAUGGAACGAUCAUGGGUAACCAUGUUUGUUCCAGUCAGACUUCUGACCCUUCUUGUAUUCUGAAAUGGAACGAACAUGGGUAACCAUGUUUGUUCCAGUCAGACUUCAGAACACAAACAGAUUGUAGUUCAAAUGUUAAUGUAUUAAACAACAUAAAUACAAAAUUCUUCGUUCA
Daphnia magna is the source of this 922-nucleotide long non-coding RNA. RefSeq lists it as uncharacterized. Lineage: Eukaryota; Metazoa; Arthropoda; Branchiopoda; Diplostraca; Daphniidae. The record is from RefSeq and is a predicted model, not a curated record. The transcript has 2 exons.